RNAcentral lists this ribosomal RNA (730 nucleotides) under Pseudomonas azotoformans. RNAcentral describes it as "bacterial SSU rRNA". It matches the Rfam family "Bacterial small subunit ribosomal RNA", at positions 1 to 739 of the family's 1533-position model. Lineage: Bacteria; Pseudomonadati; Pseudomonadota; Gammaproteobacteria; Pseudomonadales; Pseudomonadaceae. The record is from RNAcentral.
UAGAGUUGAUCCUGGUCAGAUUGAACGCUGGCGGCAGGCCUAACACAUGCAAGUCGAGCGGUAGAGAGAAGCUUGCUUCUCUUGAGAGCGGCGGACGGGUGAGUAAUGCCUAGGAAUCUGCCUGGUAGUGGGGGAUAACGUUCGGAAACGGACGCUAAUACCGCAUACGUCCUACGGGAGAAAGCAGGGGACCUUCGGGCCUUGCGCUAUCAGAUGAGCCUAGGUCGGAUUAGCUAGUUGGUGAGGUAAUGGCUCACCAAGGCGACGAUCCGUAACUGGUCUGAGAGGAUGAUCAGUCACACUGGAACUGAGACACGGUCCAGACUCCUACGGGAGGCAGCAGUGGGGAAUAUUGGACAAUGGGCGAAAGCCUGAUCCAGCCAUGCCGCGUGUGUGAAGAAGGUCUUCGGAUUGUAAAGCACUUUAAGUUGGGAGGAAGGGUUGUAGAUUAAUACUCUGCAAUUUUGACGUUACCGACAGAAUAAGCACCGGCUAACUCUGUGCCAGCAGCCGCGGUAAUACAGAGGGUGCAAGCGUUAAUCGGAAUUACUGGGCGUAAAGCGCGCGUAGGUGGUUUGUUAAGUUGGAUGUGAAAUCCCCGGGCUCAACCUGGGAACUGCAUUCAAAACUGACUGACUAGAGUAUGGUAGAGGUGGAAUUUCCUGUGUAGCGGUGAAAUGCGUAGAUAUAGGAAGGAACACCAGGGCGAGGACCACAGACUAAUAAGAAA